This 497-nucleotide ribosomal RNA is filed under the name Arsenophonus endosymbiont of Eupelmus vesicularis. RNAcentral's name for it is "bacterial SSU rRNA". It matches the Rfam family "Bacterial small subunit ribosomal RNA", at positions 469 to 965 of the family's 1533-position model. Lineage: Bacteria; Pseudomonadati; Pseudomonadota; Gammaproteobacteria; Enterobacterales; Morganellaceae. The record is from RNAcentral.
UUGACGUUAGCGACAGAAGAAGCACCGGCUAACUCCGUGCCAGCAGCCGCGGUAAUACGGAGGGUGCGAGCGUUAAUCGGAAUUACUGGGCGUAAAGGGCACGCAGGCGGUUAAUUAAGUUGGAUGUGAAAUCCCCGGGCUUAACCUGGGAAUGGCAUUCAAGACUGGUUAGCUAGAGUCUUGUAGAGGGGGGUAGAAUUCCAUGUGUAGCGGUGAAAUGCGUAGAGAUGUGGAGGAAUACCGGUGGCGAAGGCGGCCCCCUGGACAAAGACUGACGCUCAUGUGCGAAAGCGUGGGGAGCAAACAGGAUUAGAUACCCUGGUAGUCCACGCUGUAAACGAUGUCGAUUUGGAGGUUGUGGUCAAGAACUGUGGCCUCCGGAGCUAACGCGUUAAAUCGACCGCCUGGGGAGUACGGCCGCAAGGUUAAAACUCAAAUGAAUUGACGGGGGCCCGCACAAGCGGUGGAGCAUGUGGUUUAAUUCGAUGCAACGCGAA